Molecule: ribosomal RNA, 545 nt
Filed under: uncultured bacterium
Lineage: Bacteria
Description: bacterial SSU rRNA
Rfam family: Bacterial small subunit ribosomal RNA
Source: RNAcentral
UCUCCUACGGGAGGCUGCAGUGGGGAAUUUUGGACAAUGGGGGCAACCCUGAUCCAGCCAUGCCGCGUGCGGGAAGAAGGCCUUCGGGUUGUAAACCGCUUUCGGCCGGAACGAAAUCGCCGGAGAGAACAUCUCCGGUGGAUGACGGUACCGGAAGAAGAAGCACCGGCUAACUACGUGCCAGCAGCCGCGGUAAUACGUAGGGUGCAAGCGUUAAUCGGAAUUACUGGGCGUAAAGCGUGCGCAGGUGGUUCGCUAAGACAGAUGUGAAAUCCCCGGGCUCAACCUGGGAACUGCGUUUGUGACUGGCGGGCUAGAGUGCGGAAGAGGGAGGUGGAAUUCCACGUGUAGCAGUGAAAUGCGUAGAGAUGUGGAGGAACACCGAUGGCGAAGGCAGCCUCCUGGUCUAGCACUGACGCUCAUGCACGAAAGCGUGGGGAGCAAACAGGAUUAGAUACCCUGGUAGUCCACGCCCUAAACGAUGACGACUAGUUGUUGGGGUAGAAGUACCUUAGUAACGCAGCUAACGCGUGAAGUCGUCCGCC